Molecule: ribosomal RNA, 429 nt
Filed under: Chloroflexota bacterium
Lineage: Bacteria; Bacillati; Chloroflexota
Description: Chloroflexi bacterium partial 16S ribosomal RNA
Rfam family: Bacterial small subunit ribosomal RNA
Source: RNAcentral
UGGGGAAUAUUGCACAAUGGGCGCAAGCCUGAUGCAGCCAUGCCGCGUGUGUGAAGAAGGCCUUUGGGUUGUAAAGCACUUUCAGCGGGGAGGAAGGCGAUAAGGUUAAUAACCUUGUCGAUUGACGUCAGCCGCAGAAGAAGCACCGGCUAACUCCGUGCCAGCAGCCGCGGUAAUACGGAGGGUGCAAGCGUUAAUCGGAAUUACUGGGCGUAAAGCGCACGCAGGCGGUCUGUCAAGUCGAAUGUGAGAUCCCCGGGCUCAACCUGGAAACUGCAUCUGAUACUGGCAGGCUUGAGUCUCGUAGAGGGAGAUAGAAUUCCAGGUGUAGCGGUGAAAUGCGUAGAGAUCUGGAGGAAUACCGAUGGCGAAGGCGGCCCCCUGGGCGAUUACUGACGCUCAGAUGCGAAAGCGUGGGGAGCAAACGGG